UUAAGCGACUAAGCGUACACGGUGGAUGCCCUGGCAGUCAGAGGCGAUGAAGGACGUGCUAAUCUGCGAUAAGCGUCGGUAAGGUGAUAUGAACCGUUAUAACCGGCGAUUUCCGAAUGGGGAAACCCAGUGUGUUUCGACACACUAUCAUUAACUGAAUCCAUAGGUUAAUGAGGCGAACCGGGGGAACUGAAACAUCUAAGUACCCCGAGGAAAAGAAAUCAACCGAGAUUCCCCCAGUAGCGGCGAGCGAACGGGGAGGAGCCCAGAGCCUGAAUCAGUGUGUGUGUUAGUGGAAGCGUCUGGAAAGGCGCGCGAUACAGGGUGACAGCCCCGUACACAAAAAUGCACAUGCUGUGAGCUCGAUGAGUAGGGCGGGACACGUGGUAUCCUGUCUGAAUAUGGGGGGACCAUCCUCCAAGGCUAAAUACUCCUGACUGACCGAUAGUGAACCAGUACCGUGAGGGAAAGGCGAAAAGAACCCCGGCGAGGGGAGUGAAAAAGAACCUGAAACCGUGUACGUACAAGCAGUGGGAGCACAGAGCAAUCUGUGUGACUGCGUACCUUUUGUAUAAUGGGUCAGCGACUUAUAUUCUGUAGCAAGGUUAACCGAAUAGGGGAGCCGAAGGGAAACCGAGUCUUAACUGGGCGUUAAGUUGCAGGGUAUAGACCCGAAACCCGGUGAUCUAGCCAUGGGCAGGUUGAAGGUUGGGUAACACUAACUGGAGGACCGAACCGACUAAUGUUGAAAAAUUAGCGGAUGACUUGUGGCUGGGGGUGAAAGGCCAAUCAAACCGGGAGAUAGCUGGUUCUCCCCGAAAGCUAUUUAGGUAGCGCCUCGUGAAUUCAUCUCCGGGGGUAGAGCACUGUUUCGGCAAGGGGGUCAUCCCGACUUACCAACCCGAUGCAAACUGCGAAUACCGGAGAAUGUUAUCACGGGAGACACACGGCGGGUGCUAACGUCCGUCGUGAAGAGGGAAACAACCCAGACCGCCAGCUAAGGUCCCAAAGUCAUGGUUAAGUGGGAAACGAUGUGGGAAGGCCCAGACAGCCAGGAUGUUGGCUUAGAAGCAGCCAUCAUUUAAAGAAAGCGUAAUAGCUCACUGGUCGAGUCGGCCUGCGCGGAAGAUGUAACGGGGCUAAACCAUGCACCGAAGCUGCGGCAGCGACGCUUAUGCGUUGUUGGGUAGGGGAGCGUUCUGUAAGCCUGCGAAGGUGUGCUGUGAGGCAUGCUGGAGGUAUCAGAAGUGCGAAUGCUGACAUAAGUAACGAUAAAGCGGGUGAAAAGCCCGCUCGCCGGAAGACCAAGGGUUCCUGUCCAACGUUAAUCGGGGCAGGGUGAGUCGACCCCUAAGGCGAGGCCGAAAGGCGUAGUCGAUGGGAAACAGGUUAAUAUUCCUGUACUUGGUGUUACUGCGAAGGGGGGACGGAGAAGGCUAUGUUGGCCGGGCGACGGUUGUCCCGGUUUAAGCGUGUAGGCUGGUUUUCCAGGCAAAUCCGGAAAAUCAAGGCUGAGGCGUGAUGACGAGGCACUACGGUGCUGAAGCAACAAAUGCCCUGCUUCCAGGAAAAGCCUCUAAGCAUCAGGUAACAUCAAAUCGUACCCCAAACCGACACAGGUGGUCAGGUAGAGAAUACCAAGGCGCUUGAGAGAACUCGGGUGAAGGAACUAGGCAAAAUGGUGCCGUAACUUCGGGAGAAGGCACGCUGAUAUGUAGGUGAAGUCCCUCGCGGAUGGAGCUGAAAUCAGUCGAAGAUACCAGCUGGCUGCAACUGUUUAUUAAAAACACAGCACUGUGCAAACACGAAAGUGGACGUAUACGGUGUGACGCCUGCCCGGUGCCGGAAGGUUAAUUGAUGGGGUUAGCGCAAGCGAAGCUCUUGAUCGAAGCCCCGGUAAACGGCGGCCGUAACUAUAACGGUCCUAAGGUAGCGAAAUUCCUUGUCGGGUAAGUUCCGACCUGCACGAAUGGCGUAAUGAUGGCCAGGCUGUCUCCACCCGAGACUCAGUGAAAUUGAACUCGCUGUGAAGAUGCAGUGUACCCGCGGCAAGACGGAAAGACCCCGUGAACCUUUACUAUAGCUUGACACUGAACAUUGAGCCUUGAUGUGUAGGAUAGGUGGGAGGCUUUGAAGUGUGGACGCCAGUCUGCAUGGAGCCGACCUUGAAAUACCACCCUUUAAUGUUUGAUGUUCUAACGUUGACCCGUAAUCCGGGUUGCGGACAGUGUCUGGUGGGUAGUUUGACUGGGGCGGUCUCCUCCUAAAGAGUAACGGAGGAGCACGAAGGUUGGCUAAUCCUGGUCGGACAUCAGGAGGUUAGUGCAAUGGCAUAAGCCAGCUUGACUGCGAGCGUGACGGCGCGAGCAGGUGCGAAAGCAGGUCAUAGUGAUCCGGUGGUUCUGAAUGGAAGGGCCAUCGCUCAACGGAUAAAAGGUACUCCGGGGAUAACAGGCUGAUACCGCCCAAGAGUUCAUAUCGACGGCGGUGUUUGGCACCUCGAUGUCGGCUCAUCACAUCCUGGGGCUGAAGUAGGUCCCAAGGGUAUGGCUGUUCGCCAUUUAAAGUGGUACGCGAGCUGGGUUUAGAACGUCGUGAGACAGUUCGGUCCCUAUCUGCCGUGGGCGCUGGAGAACUGAGGGGGGCUGCUCCUAGUACGAGAGGACCGGAGUGGACGCAUCACUGGUGUUCGGGUUGUCAUGCCAAUGGCACUGCCCGGUAGCUAAAUGCGGAAGAGAUAAGUGCUGAAAGCAUCUAAGCACGAAACUUGCCCCGAGAUGAGUUCUCCCUGACUCCUUGAGAGUCCUGAAGGAACGUUGAAGACGACGACGUUGAUAGGCCGGGUGUGUAAGCGCAGCGAUGCGUUGAGCUAACCGGUACUAAUGAACCGUGAGGCUUAACCUU
RNAcentral lists this ribosomal RNA (2904 nucleotides) under human gut metagenome. RNAcentral describes it as "bacterial LSU rRNA". It matches the Rfam family "Bacterial large subunit ribosomal RNA". The record is from RNAcentral.